AUGAUGCGAUCAAUCGAGGCAUUUGUAUGACCGUGACGAUGA
RNAcentral lists this small nucleolar RNA (42 nucleotides) under Trypanosoma cruzi. RNAcentral's name for it is "C/D small nucleolar RNA (snoRNA), TB6C1C3, 3' partial". Lineage: Eukaryota; Euglenozoa; Kinetoplastea; Trypanosomatida; Trypanosomatidae. The record is from RNAcentral.